AGCCUAACCCUUUUGAAUUUCAAGAGGUAUGGUGAAAAAGGUCCCGCUAGAGUAUAAAAGACUCCUCGUCAGAGUCACUCUAGCGGGUCAUAUCAGGAAACUGGUAUGGGUGGGCCUCGGUCUAUC
Molecule: small RNA, 126 nt
Filed under: unclassified sequences
Description: LOOT RNA
Rfam family: LOOT RNA
About the family: Latescibacteria, OD1/Parcubacteria, OP11, TM7.
Source: Rfam by way of RNAcentral